UUUUUGAUGUUAAUAAAUCUUGAAACCUUAAUUACUCUUACUCUAUUUCGUUUUUGUAUUUGAUUAUUUAAGUAAAGUUGUUUAGGUUGUUUAGAUCUACAUUUUGGUAUGAUUUCAGUAAUUUUUGGGUUUGUGUUCUUGAGAAUGUUGCUUAAGUAGUGAUUAGGGUUCUUGAGGAUGGAUUAGAUUAGGGUAAUCUCUAGGUUAGUUAGGUGGUUAGUGUUUAGGUUUAUACCCUUCUAGAUUCACUUUGCCCCUAUGCGGUUUUUGCUGGCUAAUGUGGAGAUUCGAUCAUAGACGUCCAGCGUCCAAAAGACGUUCAAAUGGAUGUCUGACCUACGAAUUCCAGAGAUUUGCACACUCGACCAAGGGAUUGGCUGGUUUGCCUAUUGGCUUUGGUAGAUUGUUUCUUAAACCCUACUCUGCUAUAUUUCAUCAACGAGAGUUGAGAUUAGGAAGUGGUAGAGUUAUGGGGGUCUCUGUCACGAGAGUGGAUUGACCCGGUUUUUGAAUCUAUCGUCAUGGGUAUCUACCUUUCGCCUAUUAGCCAUUUGAUGAACCCUAGAGUUGCCCUUAUCAAUGAAUCCAUCCUUAGAAUUUCUAUUAGAUUUAUUUGUAUCCCCUGUUGAUUGUACUUUUAUUUACCUGUUAUUUGCAUCCCCUAUUUGUAUCCCCUGUUGAUUGCAUUAAGGUUACUUAAUUUUGUCGCUUGUUGGUUCUACUCGACCCAAUGAUCGAGUAGGGCUCUUAAGUUCUUAUUUUUACUUGUUUGAAUCCUGACCUAGGAUUGUUAUUAGAAACCCACAAUCAUUAUAAUCUGGCUUGACUUAGUAGUUUUUGUACACAUCUUGAUUGCUAGCAAUACAGUGAAAUGGAUUGACACCCCCUAUAGCUGCAUCGACAUGUUUGUGUUUUAGGGGAAUUGAACUGAACUCACACAACAUUCUGUAUAAGUAGGCGUAAAAAACCUGCUUAUCAUGAUGCUAGCAAUCAAGAUGCAAUCAGAGUUCACAGAGUCAAGCCAAGCAAUAACAGGUUUUAGAGUCUGCUAGCAAUCCUAAGUGAACAUGCAGGAAACAGAAAAUCAAGCAGAAACAAUAAAACACUCGACCAACACAACUCGUUGUAAAGCCCUAGGUGUGGUCGAGUAAUAGACAGAAAAUGUAACAGGGAUACUCGACUGUACAGUCUGUUGCCAGACAACUGGGUGGUCAAGUAACAGGUCGAGUAAGAAGAGAAAAAUGCAAAAACUACCCAACAGGUAACAAGAUGCAGUAAACAACAGAAGAGUAAACAAAGAAAUCAAUUAGAUAAAGAAUUCUCGAGGAUGGGGUAAUUGAGUAGUUUCGUUUCCUCAGUUUACAGGUGAUUGACAUGCUUAAUAAAUUAUCCCUAGACAACAAGUUCGAUAACCAAAUCUAAGUGCCAGCGCAACAAACCCUCAAGUUAAACCAGUCCCAGACUCAAUCACCAUUGACGAGAGCUAAUGAAUGGAAGAGGUUACUAGGUGC
RNAcentral lists this small RNA (1511 nucleotides) under Arabidopsis thaliana (thale cress). RNAcentral's name for it is "ATSL033820". Lineage: Eukaryota; Viridiplantae; Streptophyta; Magnoliopsida; Brassicales; Brassicaceae. The record is from RNAcentral.